Molecule: ribosomal RNA, 235 nt
Filed under: uncultured bacterium
Lineage: Bacteria
Description: partial 16S ribosomal RNA
Rfam family: Bacterial small subunit ribosomal RNA
Source: RNAcentral
UGAGCAACCUACCGAAGCGUGGGGGGUAGCCGGCCUAACGGCCGAGUAAUACCGCAUACGCUCUCGAUGAGGCAUUUCAUUGAGAGGAAACCUACGGGACAUUUCGAGGGGCUCGCGGCCUAUCAGCUAGUUGGAGAGGUAACGGCUCACCAAGGCAACGACGGGUAGCUGGUCUGAGAGGAUGGCCAGCCACAUUGGGACUGAGACACGGCCCAGACCUCCGUACGGGAGGNAG